AUGCGUAGGCGACUUCUCAAGUCUUCUGUAAAAUCCUGUGGCUUAACCAUAGGCUUGCGGAAGAGACUGAGUUGAUUGAGGUAUUCAGAGGAAAGGGGAAUUCCUGGUGGAGCGGUGGAAUGCGUUGAUAUCAGGAGGAACACCGAUGGCGAAGGCACCUUUCUGGGAAUCACCUGACGCUAAGGCUCGAAAGCUAGGGUAGCAAAAC
Molecule: ribosomal RNA, 208 nt
Filed under: uncultured bacterium
Lineage: Bacteria
Description: partial 16S ribosomal RNA
Rfam family: Bacterial small subunit ribosomal RNA
Source: RNAcentral